RNAcentral lists this ribosomal RNA (448 nucleotides) under uncultured bacterium. Its description in RNAcentral is "bacterial SSU rRNA". It matches the Rfam family "Bacterial small subunit ribosomal RNA", at positions 329 to 797 of the family's 1533-position model. The record is from RNAcentral.
GUCCAGACUCCUACGGGAGGCAGCAGUGGGGGAUAUUGCACAAUGGGGGAAACCCUGAUGCAGCGACGCCGCGUGAGUGAAGAAGUAUUUCGGUAUGUAAAGCUCUAUCAGCAGGGAAGAAAAUGACGGUACCUGACUAAGAAGCCCCGGCUAACUACGUGCCAGCAGCCGCGGUAAUACGUAGGGGGCAAGCGUUAUCCGGAUUUACUGGGUGUAAAGGGAGCGUAGACGGCAUGGCAAGUCAGAUGUGAAAGCCCGGGGCUCAACCCCGGGACUGCAUUUGAAACUGUCAGGCUGGAGUGCAGGAGAGGUAAGUGGAAUUCCUAGUGUAGCGGUGAAAUGCGUAGAUAUUAGGAGGAACACCAGUGGCGAAGGCGGCUUACUGGACUGUAACUGACGUUGAGGCUCGAAAGCGUGGGGAGCAAACAGGAUUAGAUACCCGCGUACA